Long non-coding RNA from Podarcis raffonei (Aeolian wall lizard), 217 nucleotides. RefSeq lists it as uncharacterized. The transcript is spliced from 3 exons. The record is from RefSeq and is a predicted model, not a curated record. Lineage: Eukaryota; Metazoa; Chordata; Lepidosauria; Squamata; Lacertidae.
GCUGGACAAAGCCUUACUCAAGGCAGAGGUAGAUCGAACUGAACGGAUCAAACUUUUGUUGAACAAAAAUAAUAAGAUCCUGGAUGACAUUUCCUAUUUCCUACCCUCUGAUGUCCACAGGUUCAUUCGCAAGGAAGCCAUGAUGAUCAACCAAGCCCUGCUGGCCAAUCGGAGGGCAAUAGCCAAGCUCUUUGUCAACCUGAUGGAGGCAGACCUG